GAUGAACGCUGGCGGCGUGCCUAAUACAUGCAAGUCGAGCGAACAGACGAGGAGCUUGCUCCUCUGACGUUAGCGGCGGACGGGUGAGUAGCACGUGGAUAACCUACCUAUAAGACUGGGAUAACUUCGGGAAACCGGAGCUAAUACCGGAUAAUAUAUUGAACCGCAUGGUUCAAUAGUGAAAGACGGUUUUGCUGUCACUUAUAGAUGGAUCCGCGCCGCAUUAGCUAGUUGGUAAGGUAACGGCUUACCAAGGCAACGAUGCGUAGCCGACCUGAGAGGGUUAUCGGCCACACUGGAACUGAGACACGGUCCAGACUCCUACGGGAGGCAGCAGUAGGGAAUCUUCCGCAAAGGGCGAAAGCCUGACGGAGCAACGCCGCGUGAGUGAUGAAGGUCUUCGGAUCGUAAAACUCUGUUAUUAGGGAAGAACAAAUGUGUAAGUAACUAUGCACGUCUUGACGGUACCUAAUCAGAAAGCCACGGCUAACUACGUG
RNAcentral lists this ribosomal RNA (497 nucleotides) under uncultured bacterium. Its description in RNAcentral is "partial 16S ribosomal RNA". It matches the Rfam family "Bacterial small subunit ribosomal RNA", at positions 28 to 507 of the family's 1533-position model. The record is from RNAcentral.